AUGGCAAGUUCAAAUCCUUUGACUGUUUUUGCUAAGUUAAAUGAUGGAAAUUAUAAGGAGUGGAGCAUUUAUGUGAGGCAUCUCUUAGUCAGAAAAGGACUACAAAAUACUAUUCUAGGAACGGAACAAGACGCAGUUAAAAAUGAGAGAGGACUGGCAACAUUGGUUUUGAGUUUAAUGCCAAGUCAGUUGGUUCAUGUGCAGAAUUUGCAAACUGCACAGGAGGUAUGGAAUGUGUUGAAGCAAGUGCAUCAGAGACAGAGCACUCUUGGAAAAAUGAUUUGGACUAAACGCCUUUAUAGAACUACAUUGGAAGAAGGGGCAGAUGUGAGGAAACAUGUGAAGAGGAUGAAAGAUUUGUUUAUUGAAUGCCAAAACAGAGGUGUUCAGAUUGCCAAAGAGCAACAGGCUUAUAUUAUAAUGUCCAGCUUAACUGCUGAUUGGGAUCAUUUGUUGCAUUCCUUGCAAAAUGUGCCUGAAGGAGAUCUGAGUCUGGAUUUAGUGUGUUCCAGGAUCCUGGAAGAAGCUGAGCAUCUGGAGUUUGAGAGAGAAGCCUCGUGUGGGAGAAGUUACCAGAGCGAGGGGGAGUCAACUCCAGAGAUGCCGAGCCAGACAGCUGCUUGUGCGAGUGUGAGAGCUGUAAGGAGAUGUUUUAUUUGCAACAGGAUAGGACAUUUAGCAAGAAAUUGCCAGAGCCGAGGAAGACAUCAAAGAGGAAUGUCCAGAGGUGGUCACAGGAGAAGUGGACUGAACAACAACCCUGAGCCGAGAGUUUUGAUGGCUGCAAAUGAAGAUGGAGACAGCAAAAGAAGUAACAAAUGGGUUUUGGACUCAGGUGCCACUCACCAUAUAACUAAUGAUAUUUCUCUGUUGAGAGAUGUACAAGAUUUGGAAGCAGCAAAUGUAACUUUGGCUGAUGGGUCAUUUAAAUGGUUUUCUAAAUUUGGAACCUGUUAUAUUCCAUGUUUAAAAUUGUAUUGGGAGAAAGUCUUGUAUGUGCCAGAAAUGAAGACAAAUUUGUUAAGCGUAGCCACAUUGACUGAUCAACAAUUUAAAGUGUUCUUUAAAGGAAUUUAUUGCUACAUUCGUGAUAGGGAAGGAAAAUUGGUUGGCAAAGGAGUAAAAAGAAACAGAAUGUAUGAAAUGUUUGAAAAAGUUAACAGCAUUGAUGGAGAAAAUGUAGAAAUUAUGUGUGUAGGAGGUCAAAUUCAACAUGAUCGUUGUCUGCAUUUAUUCCACUGA
RNAcentral lists this long non-coding RNA (1242 nucleotides) under Anolis carolinensis (green anole). Its description in RNAcentral is "lncRNA (ENSACAG00000042721.1)". The record is from RNAcentral. Lineage: Eukaryota; Metazoa; Chordata; Lepidosauria; Squamata; Anolidae.